UGGGUCACUGGUGCCCAUAUCCAGCUGUCACAGUGCGAGGGCCGGGGUACACCCUGGACAGGUCGCAAGUCCCAUCACCGGCCCAGAUAUGGCCGUCCAUGCUGCACCAGAGACAUAAAGGAUGUCAUCAUUAAAGGAACGAAAGGUUUCAAAGCAUCAAUGAUCUACGGAGUCAUCAGGAAGUGGAAAAACAACAGCUGAAAACUGGAUGUUCCUACAAAACUGACAAAAAGACCGGACAAGAAACGGGUCCAGGAGGCUACGAAGAGGCAACAACUGAAGAAGUUCUGGUUCUAACAACAAUCUGCUGAGUUCACAAAUGUCUGAGCUGUGGAGCUGAGAAGACGUUAAGAAAAAAAACAUCCAGGGCAGAAAAUAGACCAAGUCUCCCAAAAGACUGUGGGAAACUGAGUUCUGGUCUGACCAACACCAUGUUGAAGUGUCUGGUAAAAAGUUUGGUUUGGUGCAGGACCAAGAUCAUCUGAAAUGAUCUUUGCUGGACUUUUUAUGUYGUGGUUGUACAGUUUUAGUGGGUUUUGCAUAAAUUGUGUUGAAUCCCAGGAAUGAUCUGAAGUGAUUUUUUUAAAUUUAGUUUAUUUUAUUUCCAUCUGAGAGAUUUUGGGAUUGAUUUAACUGCAAAAAUCACAGCUUUACAUCUUCUACCUUCACAUUCCUGAGUGUGAAACCUUUCGUGGAGAUCCUCACCUCAGCAGGGACACUGUGAGGACGUUUCCCAUAAGUACCCUCUAUUAUUCCUGAUCGUUAUCUGCAGCGUGUGUGUGUGAGGGUGGGUGAGGGGGUCUCCGGAGUCCAGCUGGAGCCCAGUACAGUUCAGGAAUUUGGAGAGUUCUUUAGAUAUUUUCUAAGUCUUUGCCCACAUGUGCAGGACAGAGGGAGUCGGCUGCUAUUUCCCCACGACCCCGACGACACCCCCUGGCCCUGACCUCUGACCCCACCCAUCCAAACUGGAGAAAAGAAACAUYUGAAGACGAGCUGGUUCAGAAAACAGGGCCAACAUUCAAACACAGUCUGGCAAGUUUUCAUUUAGGACAAAAUGUUUUUUUUUUUACCUGCUCUCAGCUUUCACACAUACCAGAGAUCUGUAUCUGUUACAACGUGCAUGACAUCAGUUUUUACUAUCGAUCUUUAUCUUCAUGUUCUGUCACUUCCUCAGUAAACUGCCGCACCUCCAA
Molecule: long non-coding RNA, 1193 nt
Organism: Austrofundulus limnaeus
Lineage: Eukaryota; Metazoa; Chordata; Actinopteri; Cyprinodontiformes; Rivulidae
Exons: 2
Source: RefSeq, a predicted model, not a curated record